Molecule: transfer RNA, 77 nt
Filed under: Rhodospirillaceae bacterium
Lineage: Bacteria; Pseudomonadati; Pseudomonadota; Alphaproteobacteria; Rhodospirillales; Rhodospirillaceae
Also listed under: 4 other names
Description: tRNA-Pro
Rfam family: tRNA
About the family: Transfer RNA (tRNA) molecules are approximately 80 nucleotides in length.
Source: RNAcentral
CGGGGAGUGGCGCAGUCUGGUAGCGCACCUGGUUUGGGACCAGGGGGCCGGAGGUUCGAAUCCUCUCUCCCCGACCA